This 516-nucleotide ribosomal RNA is filed under the name uncultured Glomus. RNAcentral describes it as "SSU rRNA". It matches the Rfam family "Eukaryotic small subunit ribosomal RNA", at positions 577 to 1092 of the family's 1831-position model. The record is from RNAcentral. Lineage: Eukaryota; Fungi; Glomeromycota; Glomeromycetes; Glomerales; Glomeraceae.
CGGUAAUUCCAGCUCCAAUAGCGUAUAUUAAAGUUGUUGCAGUUAAAAAGCUCGUAGUUGAAUUUCGGGAUCAAUACGUCGGUCGUGCUUUCGGGUACGUACUGGCGUCAUUGGUUUCUCCUUUCUGACGAACCAUGAUGUCAUUAAUUUGGUGUUAUGGGAGUUAGGACUGUUACUUUGAAAAAAUUAGAGUGUUUAAAGCAGGCAUUAGCUUGAAUACAUUAGCAUGGAAUAAUGAAAUAGGACGUUCGAUCCUAUUUUGUUGGUUUCUAGGAUCAACGUAAUGAUUAAUAGGGAUAUUUGGGGGGCAUUAGUAUUCAAUUGUCAGAGGUGAAAUUCUUGGAUUUAUUGAAGACUAACUACUGCGAAAGCAUUUGCCAAGGAUGUUUUCAUUAAUCAAGAACGAAAGUUAGGGGGAUCGAAGACGAUCAGAUACCGUCGUAGUCUUAACCAUAAACUAUGCCGACUAGGGAUCGGAUGAUGUUAAUUUUUUAAUGACUCAUUCGGCGCCUUACG